Molecule: transfer RNA, 24 nt
Filed under: Rhegmatorhina melanosticta
Lineage: Eukaryota; Metazoa; Chordata; Aves; Passeriformes; Thamnophilidae
Description: partial tRNA-Trp
Source: RNAcentral
AAACUUAGGAUAAUCCACAAACCG